Molecule: non-coding RNA, 72 nt
Organism: Phrynosoma platyrhinos (Desert horned lizard)
Lineage: Eukaryota; Metazoa; Chordata; Lepidosauria; Squamata; Phrynosomatidae
Source: the annotation of a GenBank genome assembly
AGGAGCGUGACUUAGUGGUUUGUGUGCUGGACUAAAACUCUGGAGAUCAGGGUUCAAGUUCCGGCUCAGCCA